CACGGUGCCCUGGUGGGACGCAGCCGGGAGGGCCCUCUCCAGAGUGGGGCAGAUGCAAGUGUGGAGACCCCGCGCAUGACAGCAGGUGCUAUCCAUUCUUGCCAACCUGUGAAAACAGCCGACCUCACACGCCAGCACCACUCUCCCGGGCUUCUGCUCCCCAGUCAGCGAGCUCAGCAUGAAGCCUCUCCCACGCUCAGGCGAGUCUCGCGGCCACCAGGCGGUUUGCUUUCGAGAAAUGUUGCUGUCAAAGGUCGUUCCUCUCUCCCUUCCGCCAGGAGCCGGGGGUUUGGCCAGGCCUGGGUCUCGACCCUGGUUGUGUGGUCCUGGGUGACCUGAGCUUCCACCUUGAUCUGGAGCAGGGCACUGCUCCCCUCCUGACUCACCUGUGUGACAGGUGCAAGGCUCCCAUCAGAGAGUGGACGUGACGUGAGCACUGAGCCUCGCGGUUAAGAUGCCUGCGUCCCGUGCCGGAGCCCCUGGCUGUGACCCCUGACCCCAGCUCCUGACUCCAGCUUCCUGCUAACACAGACCCUGGGAAGCCACAAUGAUGGCUCAGGCAGUGAGGUUUCCGCCACCCAUGUGGGGGACCUGGAUUGUGUUUCUGGCUCCUGGCUUUGUCCCCAGCUGGGCUGCUGUGGGCCUGUGGGGAGCAGACCAGCAGAUGGAGGUCACCUCUUCCUAUUGGCCUCUCAAAGAAAGAAAGAAAGAUCAGAGAGUGGCUGUGAAGUCCCAUGACAGGCCUGCAGCAUGCCGUGGGGGCUGGGCAGGUCCUCCGGGUGACCUGCAGUGCGGCCAAGGGAAGGCAGACCCGAAGCUCUUCCCGGGGAAGUCCAGUAUUGGGCAAGCUCACGGAGGCGGAUCUGAGACACAGACCUGGGGGGAGCCUGCUCACUGCUCCCAGGAUUUCCCGGGAGCAGCCCCGCUCUCCCCCAGAGCAGCUGCCUGGGCUGCUGGAGCCAGACUGUGGAUGUGCAGAGAACAUUUGGACUCGGAUGGGAACGUGAGCGAGGCUGAGCCUGGGCUGACCAGAGGAGAAAACAGGGUAGAGUUACAGACAGAGAGACAGAGAGAAAGGUCUUCCUUCCGUUGGUUCACCCCCAAACCGCUACGGCUGGCACUGCGCCGAUUGAAGCCAGGAGCCAGGUGUUUCUUCCUGGUCUCUCAUGCGGGUGCAGGGCCCAAGCACUUGGGCCAUCCUCCACUGCCUUCCCCGGGCCACAGCAGAGAGCGGGACUGGAAGAGGAGCAGCCAGGACUAGAACCCAGAGCCCAUAUGGGAUGCCGGCUCCGCAGGUGGAGGAUUAACCAAGUGAGCCGCGGCGCCGGCCCCUGGAAGGACUCUUGAGCUUCCUGAAGCAGGUGAGCAGGCCCCCGACUCCCUGUCUCGGAGGGGGCACCAGGGGGGAUCUGAACACGUGCAUGGCCUUGCCGCGGCCCCGCUUCCUCUGCUCCCGCGUCUCUGCCAUUCUGCACUCCUGCACACGCAGCCUGUCUGACUUCUUCCCGUCUGCUUUUCCUUAUGAGGGCACCCCGGUCACAUCAACCCCCUGUUCGCCCGCGAAUCUGCCGUUUGCUACAGGGGCUCCAAGCAAGGACCUGAGAGGGGAGAAAGGCAAGGGGUCUCCCCUUCCCCGUGUUUCGUGACUGUGUGUUAAGCCGGGAAGCACCUCCCUGAGUGAGGGCUGCACACUGCAGAGUAGAUACUUCCGCAGGAAGCCCGGGCACGUGACCGUGUGCCUCCACCACCUCCCCAGCGCUCACGGCUGGAGCGCGUGCCCUGCAGGUUCGCGUGCUACGUGUGUGUGUGUGUGUGUGUGUUUCCUCGUGGUGGCACGCAGGCAGCUGGAGCUUUCGAGAAGAGAUCAAUGCGUUUCUUUCGCAAGUGAAUGCCCGAUCUCAGAGACCCGGAUGCAUUCCUGGGCCAGCCGUGCCAGCCUCCCGUUUUCUGCCAUGAACUGCAGCAGCACCUCUGUGCUGGGCUUCCCAGCCUGCUGCGCUGCGAGCCAGGAGAAACCUCUCUGCUUGUCAGUGACCCAGUCUCGGGAAUUCUGCCACUGCCGCAGACCCGAGGUUCGCAACCAAGGCAGCAGCUGCAGGGUCUAGCCAGAGGCUAAUGGCUAACUUCGUAUCCCAUUGCAUUUACUCUUAAGUCACCAUUCUUUAGUGACAAACACUACUCACGGGGCCAGCACUGCAGUGCCAGCAUCCCAUA
Long non-coding RNA from Lepus europaeus (European hare), 2214 nucleotides. RefSeq lists it as uncharacterized. Lineage: Eukaryota; Metazoa; Chordata; Mammalia; Lagomorpha; Leporidae. The record is from RefSeq and is a predicted model, not a curated record. The transcript has 4 exons.